Molecule: ribosomal RNA, 498 nt
Filed under: uncultured bacterium
Lineage: Bacteria
Description: partial 16S ribosomal RNA
Rfam family: Bacterial small subunit ribosomal RNA
Source: RNAcentral
AUUGAACGCUGGCGGCAUGCCUUACACAUGCAAGUCGAACGGUAACAGGUCUUCGGAUGCUGACGAGUGGCGAACGGGUGAGUAAUACAUCGGAACGUGCCUAGUAGUGGGGGAUAACUACUCGAAAGAGUGGCUAAUACCGCAUGAGAUCUACGGAUGAAAGCAGGGGAUCGCAAGACCUUGUGCUACUAGAGCGGCCGAUGGCAGAUUAGGUAGUUGGUGGGAUAAAAGCUUACCAAGCCGACGAUCUGUAGCGGGUCUGAGAGGACGAUCAGCCAAACUGGGACUUAGACACGGCCCAGACUCCUACGGGAGGCAGCAGUGGGGAAUUUUGGAAAAUGGGCGCAAGCCUGAUCCAGCAAUGCCGCGUGCAGGAUGAAGGCCUUCGGGUUGUAAACUGCUUUUGUACGGAACGAAAAGCCCCGGGUUAAUACCCUGGGGUCAUGACGGUACCGUAAGAAUAAGCACCGGCUAACUACGUGCCAGCAGCCGCCGUAA